UAACUAAAUAGUCAAGUUGUUUAUGCAAAAGCCUAUGGCAGGUGGGGACAUGAUUUUUGCCUAGUGCUCUAAAUGUCAAAGUGAAAGUAUUUACUGAAGCUUAGGUAAAUUGAUGGGUGUAACUAUGACUCUUUUAAGGUAGCCAAAUGUCUCACCAUCUAAUUAAGGAUGUGAAUGAAUGGAUGAUUGA
RNAcentral lists this non-coding RNA (190 nucleotides) under Myotis davidii. Its description in RNAcentral is "Eukaryotic large subunit ribosomal RNA". It matches the Rfam family "Eukaryotic large subunit ribosomal RNA", at positions 2135 to 2330 of the family's 3401-position model. Lineage: Eukaryota; Metazoa; Chordata; Mammalia; Chiroptera; Vespertilionidae. The record is from Rfam by way of RNAcentral.